UUGCCUAGUAACGGCGAGUGAAGCGGCAACAGCUCAAAUUUGAAAUCUGGCCCCUUUGGGGUCCGAGUUGUAAUUUGCAGAGGGUGCUUUGGCGUUGGCAGCGGUCUAAGUUCCUUGGAACAGGACAUCGCAGAGGGUGAGAAUCCCGUAUGUGGUCGCAUGCCUCCGCCGUGUAAAGCCCCUUCGACGAGUCGAGUUGUUUGGGAAUGCAGCUCUAAAUGGGAGGUAAAUUUCUUCUAAAGCUAAAUACCGGCCAGAGACCGAUAGCGCACAAGUAGAGUGAUCGAAAGAUGAAAAGCACUUUGGAAAGAGAGUCAAACAGCACGUGAAAUUGUUGAAAGGGAAGCGCUUGCAGCCAGACUUGCCUGUAGUUGCUCACCCGGGCUCCUGCCCGGGGCACUCUUCUGCAGGCAGGCCAGCAUCAGUUUGGGCGGUCGGAUAAAGGGCUCUGACACGUACUUCCCUUCGGGGUUGACAUACAGGGGAGCCGCAAUGCGAUCAGCCCGGACUGAGGUCCGCGCAUCUGCUAGGAUGCUGGCGUAAUGGCUGUAAGCGGCCCGUCUUGAAACACGGACCAAGGAGUCUAACAUCUAUGCGAGUGUUUGGGUGUCAAGCCCGAGCGCGUAAUGAAAGUGAACGGAGGUGGGAACCCCUUUCGGGGUGCACCAUCGACCGAUCCUGAUGUCUUCGGAUGGAUUUGAGUAAGAGCAUAGCUGUUGGGACCCGAAAGAUGGUGAACUAUGCUUUGAAUAGGGUGAAGCCAGAGGAAACUCUGGUGGAGGCUCGCAGCGGUUCUGACGUGCAAAUCGAUCGUCAAAUUUGGGCAUAGGGGCGAAAGACUAAUCGAACUAUCUAGUAGUCUGGGUUACAGAACGAAUUU
This 880-nucleotide ribosomal RNA is filed under the name Periconia igniaria. RNAcentral describes it as "LSU rRNA". It matches the Rfam family "Eukaryotic large subunit ribosomal RNA", at positions 75 to 968 of the family's 3401-position model. The record is from RNAcentral. Lineage: Eukaryota; Fungi; Ascomycota; Dothideomycetes; Pleosporales; Periconiaceae.